GGGAAUUUUCCGCAAUGGGCGCAAGCCUGACGGAGCAAGACCGCGUGCGGGAUGAAGGUCUGUGGACUGUAAACCGCUUUUGAUAGGGAAGAAGACAGUGACGGUACCUAUCGAAUCAGCCUCGGCUAACUCCGUGCCAGCAGCCGCGGUAAUACGGAGGAGGCAAGCGUUAUCCGGAAUUAUUGGGCGUAAAGCGUCCGUAGGUGGUGAUGCAAGUCUAUUGUCAAAGCGUGAGGCUUAACCUCAUACCGGCAGUGGAAACUGCAUUGCUAGAGUGCGAUAGGGGCAAGGGGAAUUCCCAGUGUAGCGGUGAAAUGCGUAGAUAUUGGGAAGAACAUCGGUGGCGAAAGCGCCUUGCUGGGUCUGCACUGACACUGAGGGACGAAAGCUAGGGGAGCGAAAGGGAUUAGAUACCCCUGUAGUCCUAGCCGUAAACGAUGGAUACUAGGCGUUGUCCGUAUCGACCCGGGCAGUGCCGUAGCUAACGCGUUAAGUAUCCCGCCUGGGA
RNAcentral lists this ribosomal RNA (508 nucleotides) under uncultured cyanobacterium. Its description in RNAcentral is "bacterial SSU rRNA". It matches the Rfam family "Bacterial small subunit ribosomal RNA", at positions 357 to 878 of the family's 1533-position model. Lineage: Bacteria; Bacillati; Cyanobacteriota. The record is from RNAcentral.